Molecule: long non-coding RNA, 9274 nt
Organism: Gallus gallus (chicken)
Lineage: Eukaryota; Metazoa; Chordata; Aves; Galliformes; Phasianidae
Exons: 3
Source: RefSeq, a predicted model, not a curated record
ACCUGGCCGGGAGGUGGCGCUGCUGUGGGCCGCGCUGAGGCUUCGCGUCGCGGGUUCGGGGCUCCCGGGGGUCCCUGGAGGCUCGAGAUGACUUCGUUCAGCGGUUCCUCCACGCCUUCUGUGGUGAUGAUUUGCAGCCUGAUAGCAUAUCAAGGAAACACAGGACUUAUAUCUGUAAAGUGGACUGUGACUGUCAGGGAAGAGGCAUCUUCAUCGCCAAACCUGAGGACAUAAAACCUGGGCAGGGUAAGAUCUGCCAGCAAUACAUCUCAAGGGUAACCCUUCCAUUCCAUGUUUCAAGAUUGCUGUUCUGUCACUGAGCUACUGUUUUAAUAUCCAGUUUAGCCUUGCUUUGAUGUGGUCAGUCAGCCAUAAAUAGCAUUCACUGGUCAUUUUCUUCAGAUUCAUCACUAUCAAAAGAAUUCAUUGCUGUCAAAAGGAAAAAUAUCUACUUUACAUGUCGCUGCGUAAACUCUCGUUCAGAAAUGGCUUCUAAUAUUUUGAGGUGGAAUCACCUUGACAAGAAUUCAGGCCAUUCGGACUCAUUGGACAAGGAAAACUUUUUCCCUCAUGAGUGAAUGAGCCUUUAAACAAUACUCAUUUUUCAUGAGUCCACCUCGGCCCUAUUGUCCUGCUCCUUACAAUUGUCUCAUCAAAGUGUUUCGGUUGACAUUUGGAGUCAUGUUCCUGAUGAAGUCUAAUAUAAAAACCUCAGCAAAUAUCUAGUUUUGUGAAUUUCUGAUAAUUUUAGAACCUUAAUUUACUCUGGUUUGUUGUGGACCUUUGGAUACACUUUAUUUUGGGGGAUAAAUUUGACUUUGUAUUGACCUCGUUGUUAUUUCUUAGGGAGUGUUCCCAGGAAAGAAUGAAAGUCAAAGCAGUAAGAGAUGGAGGGGAGGGCACAUGCAGACUCUGGCUUAUUGAAAAAGAAAGUAGGCAGUCAUAGAAUCAUAGGACAAGAGAAUGGCAUAGGUCAGAAGGGACCUUAAAGAUCAUCUGGUUUCACCUCCUGUGCUGUGGGCUCUGUCUAAUCAGUGUUUGGGUCAUACAGCCCAGCAGUAGACAUUUACUGUAUCUUAAAUGGAAAAAUAUCUACUGUAGGAACGGGUUCAGUAGAGACAUUAACUGGGCAUAUAACCUUUGCUCUAUAGGUUAAUGAGUUACCUUUGUGGUUCAUGUGUUUCAAGCAAGUUUAGAAGCAAAUUGGCUUCACAUUCUCCAUCCCAGACUUUUAUAAUUGGUAGACCCAAGUUCGAUCUGCAAGUUUAUGUGCUGAUGACAUCUUGUGAUCCUCUGAGGAUAUUUGUCUAUAAUGAGGACCUUACACAUUUUGCUAUUUCAGCAUACUCUGAGCCUUUGCAUAACAGCUUCAUAAGUAAAGAACUCCAUUAGCAGACGUUCAUGACAACCCAACACAUAGAAACUGGACAGAGAAAACGUUGUGGUUUGCUUGUCCAAAGUUUCCUCAUCUGGGAAUCUCUGAGCACUCCAUAAAUGUUAGUAAUCCCUAUGUGCAGAACCUCAGUUCCAUGAAUAAAAGCCUGCAUGAAAUAUUUUAGCUCUUUUUGUAGUAGGUAGUUAUAUUUUUGGUAUCUAAGCUGAAAACAGGUUUUGGGUGUUAUUAUAUUACCAUAAAUACAUAUCUAAUUGACUUGCAGCAUAAUUUUGGUACAAUUAAAGGUAAAGAAACAGAAAUGCUGGAAGGAAGAUUUGCCUCCAUGCUAAGAUAUUUUUUCUUCUACUUCUUUAUGGAAAGAAGUCCUGGCUUAGCUGAUGGCUGGAAAAGGUUCUGCUGUGUAGUUCUGGAUCAUUCUAACAUGGAAUUAGCUCUGCUAAUAAGUAGUUGUAGAAUGGGACCUGACUGAGAAAGAGGGCUAUAUUCAAUUGAAACUGCUGAUUUCUCAGAAGUGAUGGAAUUGGAAUGCUGAUGAGAUUGCAGUGAAGUGAAAUUGAAGCUGUUGAGCCUCAUUUAUUGGGUUCUUUAGAGUAAUGGGAUCAGUAUAGAGCUGAUCAUAUUCAGUGCCAUUAAAUCUUCUGUGCUUAAUUAAGAUGCUCUGUACAUUAUGCAGUGUGACCAGGAUCAUGUAGAGAAGAAGAGAGGAGGCUAAUACCUUUCUAACCCGGCAUCUUGUUCAUUCAUUUACAGAUAAUGUAUGCAUGCAUCUGACAAAUUAUUCCAUUAACCAGAACAGUGUUAAUUCUGCAGAGAAGUCGCUGGUGGUAAGAAGUAAAAAGAAGUCAACAUUUCAGAACUACUCUCAGAGAGGGUUGUAUUUACCUCUUCUGCCAUAUGGAGAUGUCUUCUUGAUCUUGUAACGUGACUCUGUAUUAACUCAUCUCUCUUCUUCAGCCUGUUGCUUGCUGCCACCCAUCUCUUUUUUUUAACACCGAUUUCUAAUUGUUGGGGCUUCGGAUUUUCUGCAGCUCCCAGAUAAUGGAUGGUUCAUGGGUGGCCGGCAGAGGGGGAUAGACUACACUGAAUCGGUGGGAAAACAGCUCUGGGAGCAUGCAUGGAGCAUCUCCGGCCUGCAGGAGUCCCCACCUUUGUGGACAGUUUCUUUCAAGUUCCUUGCAUGCAUAAUUAUUUCAGAUUUAGCUAUUACCCUCUGUGGAAUGUACUUGGUAAGGAGAGUGUAGCCUGUGGCUCUCAGAGGACAGCAAGUUAAUGGCAGUUCCUCCUCUUCUACUCCUAGUCGGUACUAGAUUGGCGUCAACUCUACAUUCAGUCUCAGGCCAUGAUUUCAAACUGAGCAUGUCAAUGAUUAGUUUUCUCUUUGCCAAAUUAAAAAACCAGCUGGUGUCACUGCUUUUUGUUGGUGAUGGUGGCUUGACAAACACCAAGGAUGCACUGGAUGAGGAUAGGAUAAGGAUAAGAUAGGAGAAGAAGGCAUCUUUUCCAGCAGAAGUGGCUGUUAAGCAAUCCUUGGUGAAACCAGCAGCAAAACUGAGGAAUAUCCAACCCUGACUAUGGCAGUAAAUUGAAAUCAGGAUGGAUUGUGUUGAUAGACAGGUUGUUCAGUAGCACCAAGAGCAGGUGUAAUGGAAUCUGUGGGAGAAGUGUCGUGAGCCUGAAGGGAUGGGUUUGCUGCCUUUCCUCAGAUGCUCUCAGUCCACUUUGAAAGCAUGCAUCCAUUCUGCAGUCCUACAGCUGUAAAUGCAGUAGUCAUUCUCAGACUGUGAUGCCUUUAGGAGCAAUGGUACACACUCUCCAUGCAGCUUUACAGCAUGGAGCAGCAAUUUAAUUCAGCAACAUCCUUGUGUAGUGAUAGCUGAGCUACAUUGACUUUAUUUCAUUGAGGACUGAUGGUGCACGUGCUUGGUCAUGGCCGUACUUCUAGAAUGGAAGCUGGGUUGUUUAAAGCUUUGUUCUGUAGUAUAGGCACACUAUUAAAUUGCUGAUCACAGCAUUUCCUUCCCAGCAAACCUGCACUCUGCUGAGCUGUUGGACUGACAAAAUCAGACAUCUCCAGCACCACAUCUAUUAGUCUUCAUUGAUGCUGUGAUUGAUAUGAAUACAAAUACAUUAAUGCGAUAUACCAGGGUUUCACUUUUCAGGCUCACAGAAAUGAAAUGAUGGAAGAGGCCAAAAUGAGGAAUCUCAACUGUGAUCCUGGAAGUCUGGGGGCUUGGCAAGGCUCGUUGUUUAUAUUGCUCCAUUGAGAGUCAUUCAUUUUGCACUUAACUCUGUUAAGAGAGCACUCAGCUCCUCACACAUGCCCUUCCUUGGCCUAGUUUUCAUCUGAUUAGAGGCAAAAAGACCUCUUGUGUCUGACAGAUUGCUUCAUUUCAUAGGGUGAUUUCUUCUUCUAGAGUGAUUUCGGUACACUGACAUUCAUUUACUGUGUAUUAACAAAAAUGUUGAUUAUUCUUAUUAAUACUCACUACGGCUCCUCCGGUUAUCCUGAAAACUGCCAUAAGGUGAGUGGGUGAGUGAUGGAGCAGGGCUCAAAGAUAAGAGGUGUAACACAUGGUUCUGUUGGAGUUAUGCCUAGAUCUGUCAUUGAAAAGUUUCAGAUGUUUGUAGCCUGUCAAGAACAAGGAAGUCUGUUUUACUCAUUAAUAAUUUUAUGUUAUGCAUCCUUUGCAGACAGAUAAGGAGGUGCUGUCCUUGUCCAAAGAACUUACAACACCUGCCGUGAUAAAAGGAUGGGUUUAAGGCUCUGGCUUCAAGUUUCUUCUACCAGCAAAUGAACAAAUACAACCUCGUUCAGCAUCUCACUCAGUGUCCCAUUCAGCUUGAUCUUCAUCCAUUGUCCAGAGCUUACUGCUUUGUAUUAGCUCUGCAGAACAGUAGCACGAAGCAAUAAUCAGUGCUUCAUCCUCACUUUUUUUACUUAAUUUUUAACACUGGUUAACUCUGUAACAUAGACUGAGUGGAUGAUCUCCAUUUCAUCAGGAACGAAUUUAGUCUACACCAUCAAUCCCAUUUUGAAGCAGCCACUGAUAUGAGCUGUUUCUCCUUGGGAGACAGAUGAGUCUGUGUUUCAAGGAAGGCCAUUCCAAUGCAAGGUAUCCGUAAAAUAUUAAUCUUUUAAUAUAUUUUAAUAGAAGCUUGGUUACGAACGAGGCUACUCACAUCAGUGAUGUUCUGUUUCCUAUAUGGAAAUACGGUACAAAUGACUGGAAAAACAUUUGGGUGUAAAGGAAAACGGAGAAGGAUCAGUUCAGUAUUAUAACUAAAUGCAUGCUGAAUAACGGCCAUGUAGAGCAAGCUUGAGGGACAGUUAUCAAGGUAAUUAGUAUCUCUUCCUUUUGUCCUUUAGUUCUGGAACUGAAUGUCCAGGCAGAACUAAAGCAAGGCAUGUUAGAAACACCAUAUGUACAAAGCACCACUGAUGGAUUGGGAAAAGAUUGUUAUGUCAGUAUGGUGGGUAGGGAAACUGAGGCAUGGAACGUGGUGUUAAUUGGCAGAAGACCACCUCUGUGUCUGGAUUUCUCACUAACAUCCUCUGUGACCCACAGAGUGAGGAACAGAACCAAAUUGUUUGUUCUCUCCACUGUGGUGUAGACAAUUUUGAUAGCUUCAACCUGGUCUUGGUUCCUGCUCUGACAAUCAAUGGCACAGGGCCGGAUCAGACAGCAAAGAUGCCCCUCAGUAGUGUCAGCCCUUACUGACUCUUAGGCAGUGGGAGAUCCCAUAACAUUCAUCUCUACAGCCUUGUUCUGACCAAUUAGAGUAUCGGUGUAGGGAUUAAAAUGGCCAGCAUUGUAAUCAUAGUCAGGAAACAGCAAAUCAAAGCAGGAGAACUGGAAUUUCGAGGGUCCAUCAGGGUGCUGACCAGUGAGUUUGACCAGGAUAGCGGAUCCUUGAGAUCUGAGAACUGCACCUCUUUAUUUAAGAGGAGGAAAACCAGCCGAGGUCGUACUACAAAAAAAAAAAAAAUAAGCCACUGUCCACUUGCUCUGGCUGCAAAGCACAUUUUCAAUAAGUUUCUGCUCUAACAAGCUGCAUCAGUUUCAUCUCAGUAGAUCUGAUGGUUACUGAGCAGUGCUCAAUGUUCUGGAGGGUGCCAGGCACAUAAUUGUUUUUACAACAUUGUAAAAUGAAUCAGACUGAAAUUAGUGUCACUCAGCAGAACCACUUUCCUUCCUUUUAAAUUACUUAAUCCGAGGGUUAAUCAAAAAGAAAAUGAAGUUUCGACACUGCCCUUCAGCUAAGGGCAAGCACAGGUUCAGCUGCCUGCACUGCAUCUGCCUGUGAAGUGCUUUGCAUAUCAGCUCCUGCACUGAUACGCGUGCUGCUUCCCCACUGCUAUUUGAAGGGGGGAGGAUAGGGCUGUCUUGGGAGUGCUUCCCACACGGAAGUCAAAUGGGGAGAGGAAGGAAGCAAAAGCCAUUUUGUCAUCUAAUUCCUGAGAAAUGAGAGCUAGAGAAAUUAUAGGGAAAGGGGUUUUUCUGCAGGAAGGUCCUUCCGUGAGCACACAGCCUGUUCCAGCCAUUAGCUAUAAAGUACACAGGGGUUCUCAGCCCUCUUUGGUGCCUCUUGUCCUCAGGAGCUGAGAUGUGAGUGGUUAAUAUGGUCGGGAUAUGCCAUCAUGUAAGAACCUCAAAUAGCAUCUCCUCCAUUCCUCCGGUCUUUAUUGGCUCCUUGCUGAGACAAUCCCAGCUUCUGUUGUUCUGCCCACUUUGAACUGUGUAUUUUGGAAACAAUUCUAAUAAAUUUCCCUUCCUUGAAGGUUUUCAUGUCUCACUGCAUGGGACUAUUGCUUUGUUAUGAUCAUUCACUGUAGCGGGCUUAUUAUUUUUCACUCCAUCAUAUUUUGUAUGCACGCAGCUUUCAGUUUAUCAGUGUGAUCUCAGAACGUCGUCUAGCUGAUGAGUUAUAUCAAUAACAGCUGGGCAAAGCAAGAUGAUCAUGAGCUAUAAUUAUUAUGGACAGCAAUACUGUCAGCUGAAGGCUCUGAGAAACGAUCUAGGCUGGAGGAUAUCUUGAGUUUCAAUAGCACAUAAUCCCUUUGCAAUAAUGUAAUCACGCAAAAUGAGGUUGAAGUGAUUAUCGGCAUGUGAAAAUUGCAUCAGUUUCCACACAUAUUGCUUUUCAGAUAAUAUUUGUCCUCUGGUAGCCUUGAUUCAGGAGCUAUCUGCAUAACGAGCCCCAACAUCCAUUUCUCCUGCUUCCCUGAAGGCUGUGGUACGUUGAGCCCAUUUGGGCUCCUUCACAUUUAGUUUGGAGAUCUGCUUCAACGAGCAGCAGUGGGAACAAAAGCAGAAUGCGAGGCUGAGAGCAGCCCAGGAGCCAAAACAUUUGCUCAGCGUUUUUCAGGGCCGUGUCACUCCAGCUGGCAGCCCGGAGGAAGACGUUCCCCUCCUCCUGUGUGCGUGGAGGAGCUGCACUUCUCCCAGGGCGCAUCCCCUGCGUUGAGAACGAGAUUCAGAUUUAAUUAGUUCCAGUGCAUAUGGCACGGAUUCUUUCAUUACGGCGCAUAACUGAAGAUUUAUGUCCUAACGGAGACAGGGAGGGACGUGGCCCAUGGAGGGCUCCGACUCCUUUCUGCUGACACUAUUCUAGAUGUCCUUCCCUACAGCACAGCCCAGAGAGGCACUACAGCAGCCUUGGCCCAAAAUCCCCAGGGUUUUACACCCAAGAGUAUAAGGGAUAGGGAGACCCGUUCAGGAUAAAAAUCCUCUAUCUGGAUACCAAAUGUUAUUGCACGAGGAAAAGGUGUCACCUACAAACAGCAAAACAAAACCUCAGAAGAUGAGAUUAUUACAGUCAGGAGGAUAAAGUGUUUGCUUCUUAAUUUCUUAAGCAACAAUCCGUAGUGCUUCUGACACAUCUAACAAUGAAUGGAAACUAUGAAGCCACCGCUGGCACAGUAAUUGCUGGGACCUGGAUGCAGCAAUAUGUUAUUACAUCAAGUCACACGGGUGGUGACAUUGCUGACAACCACCGAGGACCAAGAAGCAUUUAUUGGCUCUGGCAUCCAUGCAAGGAGCCUGCACUGCCUGGUGCCUCACCGUACGUGACUUGUCAGCAGCAGAAGUUGUACAUAAUGACGGUGGGGAAAGCACAAUUAAUUGGCAGCCAUCUGCCAGACGAGUGCUCUGCCUGGUGUGGUGUACCCACUACACAAGGAGGGAGAAGCCGGGUCUGCCUGUCCAGAUGGUGAACACAAAAUGAUUUGGGCACAGGUACUGGAAAAUCCGUGAUAUCCUGGAAAUGGGAAGAAAAUGAGUGGCUAAAUCAAGUCCCUGGUGUGAAUCACUCUGGAUUUGGGACACUGUUUUUCCCGUGCUGUGCUUCGGAAAUAAAAGCUACCCCUGGCUGCAUUGCUAAGCAUCAACGAACACUGAUGGGGAUUAACUAAAACGAGAAAGAAGAGCACAGCUGGAGAGCACCAAAAUGCCCCAGGAGAGGUUCCCCAAAGAGAGGUGAGGUGGAACUGGAGGAGGUGGAGAGCUGAGGUGGGUAUAGCUGUGUGCUUGGAGCUCAGCAGAGCAGAACUGCAGCUCCUUGGGGGGUUUUGGGUCUGAGUAUUUCAACGUCCGGGCUUUUAAGAAUACAAAAAGUUAUCAGCUGUGAAAAUGAGGAAUGUUUUGAGUGGGAAUCAUGGUAAGUAGACAGCUCCAAACAUUGCACUGACACCGAGCAGGGAGGCACUGAGAGAUGCUUCUGGUUGAGCUGGAUUUGGGGAGCAAGGAAAGAUCAUUUUAAUUUUAAUCAUGCAGCUGUUGUCUUUUAUUAUUAUUAUUAUUAUUAUUGAUUAUGCUGUAAUCUGCUUUUUUGCUUUUUACAUCCUGACUGCUUGAAUUAGGGAAAGAAAAUGGAUUCUCUUUGCUGGACGACGAGAAGAUGGAGAGAUUGCCUCGAAAUUAAGAGGUGAAAGGAUAUACAUCAGGUUGGGAAAUGUUGCUGGGAAAUGCAUUGUUUCAUUUCUUGUAAGGUUUCUUGAUGGUGUGAAUGAUUCAAUGGGGAAAGUUUGGGGUCUCUCCCCUCCCUUCAUCUCCAGGAUCUCAAGGAUCUGAACCCUAUAGGCUUCUCCAGGAUAACAUUAUGGGGUAUGGGGGAGGAAAUGAAAGCAAAAUAAGGCACAGGUGAGACACUGAAGUGCUCUCGUCUGAGUCGCUUGCAAACAAACCUCUCCUUGAAGUAAUGGCACUUUGUGGGAACCCCUGAACCCCAGAGGUGCCUGGAGAUGGGGGGCAGCUUUACCUGUUCUGCACUUCCUGGUGAGGUCCGGGCUCCAAAUCCACCCUAAAGACACCGAAAUCCUUCUCCUCAGGUCCUUCAGCGAUCUCAGAGAAAAACCGCAGUUUCUGGAGGGGAAAAAAAAAAGAGAGGUUAUUGAGUGCUGGCAGCAAAUCUAUUUACCGGAUCUCCUUGAGCAGCAAUAGCAAAAUAGGCGAUCUCGCACUGCAGCGGGACCCCUCCCCAUCAUAAAGGGGCGUCUUCACUUUGGGUUCACUUUCCAUAAUCCGGAUAAUGGAGGUAAACCGAAGCAGCUGCCUUUGCGGAGGGGAAAUCCGUCCCCUGAUCAGUCCUCGGGAGAGGGCGGGUUGUAAUAGCGGCGGGGCGAUGCGCACUGCGGGCACCUCCCGGAGCCAUGGGGGGGUCGGACGGCGCAGAGGGGGCUCCAGGAGCUCAGAGGGGGAACCCCAGAGCCGGAGGUGCCAUAAAGAGGGAAGAAAAACGAUCCGUUUUCCUCGGACAACUUGAAAACAGGUAACGUCGAAAGGUUACAGAGAAGGAGGGUGGAGGAAAGCUUCCCUCCUGUUCAGGGGCAGCGGUGUAAUUCGGGCAGCACAGAGAGCAAGCGGGGGAAAAAAAUGAAGA